This 497-nucleotide ribosomal RNA is filed under the name uncultured bacterium. Its description in RNAcentral is "partial 16S ribosomal RNA". It matches the Rfam family "Bacterial small subunit ribosomal RNA", at positions 28 to 507 of the family's 1533-position model. The record is from RNAcentral.
GACGAACGCUGGCGGCGUGCCUAAUACAUGCAAGUUGAGCGCUGAAGGUUGGUACUUGUACCAACUGGAUGAGCAGCGAACGGGUGAGUAACGCGUGGGGAAUCUGCCUUUGAGCGGGGGACAACAUUUGGAAACGAAUGCUAAUACCGCAUAAAAACUUUAAACAAAAGUUUUAAGUUUGAAAGAUGCAAUUGCAUCACUCAAAGAUGAUCCCGCGUUGUAUUAGCUAGUUGGUGAGGUAAAGGCUCACCAAGGCGAUGAUACAUAGCCGACCUGAGAGGAUGAUCGGCCACAUUGGGACUGAGACACGGCCCAAACUCCUACGGGAGGCAGCAGUAGGGAAUCUUCGGCAAUGGACGAAAGUCUGACCGAGCAACGCCGCGUGAGUGAAGAAGGUUUUCGGAUCGUAAAACUCUGUUGGUAGAGAAGAACGUUGGUGAGAGUGGAAAGCUCAUCAAGUGACGGUAACUACCCAGAAAGGGACGGCUAACUACGUG